GACGAACGCUGGCGGCAGGCUUAACACAUGCAAGUCGAGCGGAAAGGCCCUGGUUGUUUGGUUUGCUCGAGGGGCAAACGGGUGAGUAACACGAGAGUGACCUGACCUUGACUUUGGGAUAAGUUCAGGAAACUGGGGCUCAGACCAGAUAGGAGCUCCUGCUGCUUGGUGGGUGUUGGAAAGUUUCGGCGGUUGGGGAUGGACUCGCGGCUUAUCGUCUUGUUGGUGGGGUGGUGGCUUACCAAGGCUUUGACGGGUAGCCGGCCUGAGGGGGUGACCGGCACAAGUGGCACAGAGAUACGGGACAGAGUCGUACGGGAGGCAGCAGUAGGGAAUAUUGCAUGAUGCGCCCAAGUCUGGUGCAGCAACGCGGCGUGCGGGGUGACGGCCUUCGGGUUGGAGGCCGCUAACGCCUGUGACGGAGCGUGAGUGAAGGUAAUGGGUAAAUAAGCACCGGCUAACUCCGUG
This 468-nucleotide ribosomal RNA is filed under the name uncultured bacterium. RNAcentral's name for it is "partial 16S ribosomal RNA". It matches the Rfam family "Bacterial small subunit ribosomal RNA", at positions 28 to 507 of the family's 1533-position model. The record is from RNAcentral.